UAAAAUGCACAGUGGCAGUAUGGUAGCCAAUGAGGUGUAUCUGAGGUGUGAUUAUUGCUGAUUAAAAACAAAAUCAUAAGUACUUCUAAAUGCCAAUGUUUUUAAUACUUUAAUUUGUAUUUAAAAGAAGCAAUACUUUCUGAGU
Small nuclear RNA from Suncus etruscus (white-toothed pygmy shrew), 145 nucleotides. RefSeq annotates it as U4 spliceosomal RNA. NCBI's taxonomy places the organism in Eukaryota, Metazoa, Chordata, Mammalia, Eulipotyphla, Soricidae. The record is from RefSeq and is a predicted model, not a curated record. The transcript has a single exon.